GGGACUUGUAUGAAUGGCCACACGAGGGCUUUACUGUCUCUUACUUCCAAUCCGUGAAAUUGACCUUCCCGUGAAGAGGCGGGAAUACAACAAUAAGACGAGAAGACCCUAUGGAGCUUCAAUUAAUCGACUCAAAGAGACUCCACUAACUAACCGACAGGAACAACAAACCUCUACAUGAGCCGACAAUUUAGGUUGGGGUGACCUCGGAGAACAAAACAACCUCCGAGUGAUUUAAAUCUAGACUAACCAGUCAAAAGUAUUACAUCACUUAUUGAUCCAAAAACUUGAUCAACGGAACAAGUUACCCUAGGGAUAACAGCGCAAUCCUAUUUCAGAGUCCAUAUCGACAAUAGGGUUUACGAC
RNAcentral lists this ribosomal RNA (366 nucleotides) under Prionailurus bengalensis (leopard cat). RNAcentral's name for it is "partial 16S ribosomal RNA". It matches the Rfam family "Bacterial large subunit ribosomal RNA", at positions 1983 to 2524 of the family's 2925-position model. Lineage: Eukaryota; Metazoa; Chordata; Mammalia; Carnivora; Felidae. The record is from RNAcentral.